CUGCUGCCUUCCGUAGGAGUCUGGGCCGUGUCUCAGUCCCAAUGUGGCCGUCCACUCUCUCAAGUCGGCUACUGAUCGCUGCCUUGGUGGGCCGUUACCCCGCCAACUAGCUAAUCAGACGCGGGCCCAUCCUGUACCACCGGAGUUUUCCCCGCAGCGCCAUGCGGCGCCGCGGGCUUAUGCGGUAUUAGCAGCCGUUUCCGGCUGUUGUCCCCCUGUACAGGGCAGGUUACCCCACGCGUUACUCACCCGUCCGCCA
Molecule: ribosomal RNA, 259 nt
Filed under: uncultured bacterium
Lineage: Bacteria
Description: partial 16S ribosomal RNA
Source: RNAcentral